UACGGAGGGUGCAAGCGUUAUCCGGAUUCACUGGGUUUAAAGGGUCCGUAGGCGGUUUAAUAAGUCAGUGGUGAAAGCCCAUCGCUCAACGGUGGAACGGCCAUUGAUACUGUUAAACUUGAAUUAUUAGGAAGUAACUAGAAUAUGUAGUGUAGCGGUGAAAUGCUUAGAGAUUACAUGGAAUACCAAUUGCGAAGGCAGGUUACUACUAAUGGAUUGACGCUGAUGGACGAAAGCGUGGGUAGCGAACAGG
This 253-nucleotide ribosomal RNA is filed under the name uncultured bacterium. RNAcentral describes it as "partial 16S ribosomal RNA". It matches the Rfam family "Bacterial small subunit ribosomal RNA", at positions 524 to 776 of the family's 1533-position model. The record is from RNAcentral.